RNAcentral lists this ribosomal RNA (385 nucleotides) under uncultured bacterium. Its description in RNAcentral is "bacterial SSU rRNA". It matches the Rfam family "Bacterial small subunit ribosomal RNA", at positions 29 to 416 of the family's 1533-position model. The record is from RNAcentral.
AUUGAACGCUGGCGGCAUGCCUUACACAUGCAAGUCGAACGGCAGCACGGGGCAACCUGGUGGCGAGUGGCGAACGGGUGAGUAAUGCAUCGGAACGUGCCAUUGAGUGGGGGAUAACGUAGCGAAAGUUGCGCUAAUACCGCAUAUUCUGUGAGCAGGGAAGCAGGGGGACCGCAAGGCCUUGCGCUCUGGGAGCGGCCGAUGUCGGAUUAGCUAGUUGGUGGGGUAAAGGCCUACCAAGGCGACGAUCCGUAGCGGGUCUGAGAGGAUGAUCCGCCACACUGGGACUGAGACACGGCCCAGACUCCUACGGGAGGCAGCAGUGGGGAAUUUUGGACAAUGGGCGCAAGCCUGAUCCAGCCAUGCCGCGUGAGUGAAGAAGGCC